RNAcentral lists this ribosomal RNA (253 nucleotides) under uncultured bacterium. RNAcentral's name for it is "partial 16S ribosomal RNA". It matches the Rfam family "Bacterial small subunit ribosomal RNA", at positions 524 to 776 of the family's 1533-position model. The record is from RNAcentral.
UACGAAGGGGGCUAGCGUUGUUCGGAAUUACUGGGCGUAAAGCGCGCGCAGGCGGCUAUCCAAGUCAGUGGUGAAAGCCCGGAGCUCAACUCCGGAAUUGCCAUUGAAACUGUUUAGCUUGAGUACGAGAGAGGUGAGUGGAAUUCCCAGUGUAGAGGUGAAAUUCGUAGAUAUUGGGAAGAACACCGGUGGCGAAGGCGGCUCACUGGCUCGUAACUGACGCUCAAGCGCGACAGCGUGGGGAUCAAACAGG